AUAAGGACUUUCGGUAUCCAAUACCCAGGCAGUAGUAUCACAAAUGGAAAAGUUACAAGGUGUUAUCAUAUAAGUACCUUGCUUCUUCUUCGGCCUGUUCGGGUCCAGGGAAGCAAUGUAUAGAGGACAGUUCUUUUUUCAGUGCCCCUGCUUCUUGCAAAAGAAGCACUCCGCCUGGCUCUGGUCGGGCUUGCGCUUCUUGGUCUGACCCUGUGCAGACGUCCCAGCAUGCAGCUGCACCUUCUUAUUCUUCUUCUUCUUGUUCUUCUUCCCUUUCUUAAAGGGUCGACGACCAGAAGAAGACCCUCCCAUAAUAUUCACCGACUUCUUAUGGAGCUGGUGAUCCUUCUCAAAGUUCUACAGCAACCCCAAC
Molecule: long non-coding RNA, 373 nt
Filed under: Elaeis guineensis (African oil palm)
Lineage: Eukaryota; Viridiplantae; Streptophyta; Magnoliopsida; Arecales; Arecaceae
Description: long non-coding RNA (EGUI_LNC007850)
Source: RNAcentral